RNAcentral lists this ribosomal RNA (770 nucleotides) under uncultured Neocallimastigales. RNAcentral's name for it is "partial large subunit ribosomal RNA". The stretch from base 6 to 660 matches the Rfam family "Eukaryotic large subunit ribosomal RNA", at positions 24 to 664 of the family's 3401-position model. The record is from RNAcentral. Lineage: Eukaryota; Fungi; Neocallimastigomycota; Neocallimastigomycetes; Neocallimastigales.
GUAGUCUCGCACAGAUGCAUAUCAAUAAGCGGAGGAAAAGAAACUAACAAGGAUUCCCUCAGUAACGGCGAGUGAAGCGGGAAGAGCUCAAAUUUGAAAUCUUGAAAGGUCACCUUUCACGAAUUGUAGUUUAAAGAAGUGUUUUCUGUUACGAUCGUAAUAUAAGUUCUUUGGAAUAGGACAUCACAGAGGGUGAGAAUCCCGUCUAUGAUUGCGAUUUGUAGCUUUGUGAUACACUUUCAAAGAGUCGGGUUGUUUGGGAAUGCAGCCCAAAACGGGAGGUAAAUUUCUUCUAAGGCUAAAUAUUGGCGAGAGACCGAUAGCGAACAAGUACCGUGAGGGAAAGAUGAAAAGAACUUUGAAAAGAGAGUUAAAUAGUACGUGAAAUUGUCAAAAGGGAAGCGUUAACACCAGUGUUGUUUUCUGAAGAUCAACCUCUGUUAGCUUUAUGCAUGUUUGUUUAGACCUAAUCAGCUAUCUUGCAUGUUCUAUUGUUUGCAGUGGUGCACUUUUCAGUUUACAGGUCAACAUCAGUUUUUUUUACCGUAAAAAAGUUAAAGAAAGGUAGCUCAUGGCUCCGGUCGUGAGUGUUAUAGUCUUUUUCCUAUGCGGUAGGAGAGACUGAGGUCUGCAGUGUAGGCUAUUUGGCUAGAUACUCAGGUGCUAUGUGAUACCAUUUCAUAAACAACUUGUUGAUUAUGUUUUGCCUAUUGCAUACUCGCUUGUACUAUCAUACCUACGCUUAGGAUGUUGAGUCGUAGAGCACGCAG